This 719-nucleotide long non-coding RNA is filed under the name Helianthus annuus (common sunflower). RNAcentral's name for it is "hypothetical non coding rna". The record is from RNAcentral. Lineage: Eukaryota; Viridiplantae; Streptophyta; Magnoliopsida; Asterales; Asteraceae.
GUUCGUUUGUCAUUUUAUAAAUUGCGUAGUUUACCUCGGAAAAGGGUUCUUGCGUCCGAGCUUGCGAAGACGACAUGUUAGAUGACGAGUUCGAGGACGUGUUAGAAGAAGGUUUAGGCCCCAUCCCGCGGUACCAUCCUCGCCGCUCACCCAACGCUUCCUGAUACGGGGCAAUUGGUGGACCCUCACCGCUCCAUUCACUUGUGGCCUGUUGUAUGUUCCGCUGUAUUUUACGAAGAUGAUUAAAUAUAUAUGUGCGUAUAUAUAUAUAUAUGUUAUAGAAAAUAAUACUUAAAAGAAAUACUUACGUAAUUUUGUUCAGCAAUCGGAUCAACCCAAUUCCCUUGAUUGUCCGUGUGGGUUUUAGCAUACGUAGGUACCCAAUCCAUCUCCUGUUUAACAUUAAACUUGGAUUAGACAUUAAAUAAACAAAAGCUUACACACACGCACACAUACAUAUAACAUUACAUUUUUAUAGGCGGUGCUACCGUACGACGAUGUCCCCCCAUGGUAUGGGAAUUGUUGUUUCUCGCGUACUAGGCAUAUCCGCGGGAUGGUAUGCCCUUGCGCUCGCAAUAUCAUUGUAACCUCCCUUGCUCUUAAAUAAUUUUUUAGCGUCGUACUUGCGGUCAGAGUACCGCUUCAUAAGCACAACCCUAAUACCACCUGUCAAGUUUUUGGCCUCUAAAUCACGUUCCACUUCAUCAAAAUUGAAAUUU